AUUGAACGCUGGCGGCAUGCCUUACACAUGCAAGUCGAACAGUAACAGGUCUUCGGAUGCUGACGAGUGGCGAACGGGUGAGUAAUACAUCGGAACGUGCCCGAGAGUGGGGGAUAACGAAGCGAAAGCUUUGCUAAUACCGCAUACGAUCUCAGGAUGAAAGCAGGGGACCGCAAGGCCUUGCGCUCACGGAGCGGCCGAUGGCAGAUUAGGUAGUAGGUGGGAUAAAAGCUUACCAAGCCGACGAUCUGUAGCUGGUCUGAGAGGACGACCAGCCAAACUGGGACUGAGACAAGGCCCAGAAUCCUACGGGAGGCAGCAGUGGGGAAUUUUGGACAAUGGGCGCAAGCCUGAUCCAGCCAUGCCGCGUGCAGGAUGAAGGCCUUCGGGUUGUAAACUGCUUUUGUACGGAACGAAAAGACUCUGGUUAAUACCUGGGGUCCAUGACGGUACCGUAAGAAUAAGCACCGGCUAACUACGUGCCAGCCGCCGCCGUAA
Molecule: ribosomal RNA, 498 nt
Filed under: uncultured bacterium
Lineage: Bacteria
Description: partial 16S ribosomal RNA
Rfam family: Bacterial small subunit ribosomal RNA
Source: RNAcentral